Molecule: ribosomal RNA, 855 nt
Filed under: uncultured bacterium
Lineage: Bacteria
Description: bacterial SSU rRNA
Rfam family: Bacterial small subunit ribosomal RNA
Source: RNAcentral
AGUCGCAGGGGCAGCACAAGUGUAGCAAUACUCUGGGUGGCGACCGGCGCACGGCCCUUAAACGCCCAUGCAACCUACCUUCCACAGGGGGAUAGCCUUCCUUUAGGGAGAUUAAUACCGCAUGAAACAGGGGCCCCGCAUGGGGAUAUUUGUUAAAGAUUUAUCGGUGGAAGAUGGGCCUGCGUUCCAUUAGCUAGUUGGGGGGGUAACGGCCCACCAAGGCAACGAUGGAUAGGGGAACUGAGAGGUUUAUCCCCCACACUGGGACUGAGACACGGCCCAGACUCCUACGGGAGGCAGCAGUGAGGAAUAUUGGUCAAUGGGCGGGAGCCUGAACCAGCCAAGUCGCGUGGAGGACGACGGUUCUAUGGAUUGUAAACUCCUUUUGCACUGGGGUAAAACGCGGGACGUGUCCCGCCUUGUAAGUACAGUGCGAAUAAGCAUCGGCUAACUCCGUGCCAGCAGCCGCGGUAAUACGGAGGAUGCGAGCGUUAUCCGGAUUUAUUGGGUUUAAAGGGUGCGUAGGCGGCCCCUUAAGUCAACGGAAAAAUUUCUGCGCUCAACGCCAUCCCGCCCAUUAAACUGGGGGGGCUUGAGUCUAGAUGAAGUGGGCGGGAAUUUUGUAGUGUAGCGGGGAAAUGCUUAAAUAUUACCAGGGACUCCGAAUUGCGCACGGCGCUCCCUAAAGCUUUCACCGACCCUGGAAACCCAAAAGCCGGGGUACAAAAAUGGAUUAAAUACCCCGGGAAUCCCCCACAUAAACAAAGAAUACUCCCUGGUUGUCCAAAACAAGAAGGCGGCCAAACAAAAGCGGUAAGGGAUCCCCCUGGGGGGGACCGCCCCGCCCAGGGGAAA